Molecule: long non-coding RNA, 2506 nt
Filed under: Chelonus insularis
Lineage: Eukaryota; Metazoa; Arthropoda; Insecta; Hymenoptera; Braconidae
Description: uncharacterized LOC118074050
Source: RNAcentral
UUCAGCGGUGAGUCACGGCAGGUGCUCGUUGUUGCGAAAAUAAGUGAAUAAAAAUUUAGUAAGAAUAAAAAGUCAUUUUCUUUUAUGAUAUUCUUUGUGAAAAAAUUAAUAUAAACAAUAAUAUAUACAAAAAUUGUGGAAACUUAAAUAACCUCUUGGCUUGAUAUAAAAACUUUUCAUUUAUUCGAAUCCACGAAUGUUAAGAUAGUCUGCACGUGUACCGAUUGAUAACGGGAUUACGUCAUAGGUUAGGUUUGUUGUUGAUCCAACGAUAUCUAGAACUGGUUAGGACGCGAAAAAUAAAAAGCACUCAGUUCAUGAGAAUCACUCAUGCAGUCAAGAGAUAUUUUUCCAUCUCCCUAUUUGAAUAAAUGGAAUUUUAUAUUUUACUUUGAUUAAUUAUGAAGCUUAAUUUCUUUUGAUGAUCAUUUCUAUUAGAGUUAGGUUUGAAAGGUACAAGAACAUAAUCAGCUAAUAUAAAAAGCAGAGAGAUGUACAUGUGAGUUUGAAUCAAGUAAAAUAGAAAAUUACUGCCAAUGAAGAGCAUCUUGCUAGCGCAAUGCUUGCUGAUUCUAUUUUCAGUGUAAAAAUAAGAGGACAGGUGGUCGAGACUAGUCUCUCUUCUGCUUCUCCUUUACAACAUUUGAGGAUAACGAGUGAAAGAGAGAGAGAGAGAGAGAGUAAUAAAAACAACCAUCCUCACGAUUCGUCGCAUGGGAUCAUCACGCUUGUGGGUCCUAAAAUAACCAAAAGCCAUCGACGUCGUUCAACAUGUAUAACGAACAUACUUAAGGAACAAGCAAAGAAUUCUCAUUGGAGCAGUGUGGUCACGACCUAUUCCAGCUAUGGUUUGACAAGUUCUCGAUCUUAGCGUGAGGUCCAUUCGGUGAGAUGUCCUGGAGGAUUUUCUACCAAGCUACGGUGAUGUUUCACUGCAUAGUGUAGCCUGUAAUGUCGUCUGGACAAUGACCACGUAGCCAAUGUGCAGCGUCACGCGCGCGCCAUCCUGUCGCCGUUUGCACUCGGUCACGGCGUGGGGUCUUUGGCUUUAUGUUCACGAGGAUCAGGAUUAUACCAAAACAUGCACUACAAGAUCAGGUCAAAAUUUUUUUCUAAGACUGCAUUAAGAAUAGAAGAAGAAAAAAGUAAAUAAAAAUGAUUCAAAAUUGAUGCAAAUUUGAGUACAAGAGUAAAGCAUCAGCUCUAGGAUUAAGCACUUUGUUUUUCUUGAAAAGUCAUGAGGUAAACGUCUGGUUCAGUUGGAGGAUUACGAGUGGUGGAUGAAUAAAUCAGACGAAAGAGAGAACAUUAGAUUUACGUCGCUAAAACAGGGGAUGUAAAGAAAAUGCGAAUGUUUCUCUUGAGACGACUCCUUCAUCCCCUCUAGAGUCCUGCAUCUUCGCGUGGCUUCAAAGUCCAUCGAAUGCACUAACACAAGGACUCAGCAGGUCGUCCUAAGCUGAAUUGAAUCCCUAUGAGAAUACACUCGGCUGAGACUCGAACCUUUUUAUAUCCCAUGUUUUAUAAAAAAUAUCAAGUACGAAUAAUAAACAAUGCCAGUGAACAAUAUUUAAAAAUUUCAAGGAAGAUAUUUCAAUGAUUUUUAAUGCAGAUGAAGCGAGAUAUUUAAAAUGAUAGGGAAUAAAAAAAAAGGAUUUAGGAAAGGUUAAAGGAUCACAGCGAUAUAACGAAGUGACAACUGAGUAGGUGGACACUGUACUCGUUGUAUAGCUUCAAGAGACACAUCACGAUGAGCUCCACAGCGUGAGUUCGUAUUAUUUGGUGCAAGCAUUCUUACAAGAUCCCCAUGACGAGGCCACGAAGUCGUUAGGCACCAUUCAGAAACUCCUUAAGUCGCUAUCUAGUAGCGAUUAUUUUGUCCUGUUAGUCAUAAUCCAAAGAUUGGACUCGACUAAAGAAUAAGAGAAUAAAAAAUUAAGAUUAAUCGUAAUUUUACUAGAAUAUAUAGUUUAAUUCUACAUAAAAAAAACAUCCUUUUUAAUAUCUGGCAAUAAACCAUAAAUAAACCUAUUCAUUAAAGAAUUUAUAGAAUUUAUAAAGAGAAUAAUAUUGAAAAAAAUUUGAAAUAUGCUGAGGAAGAAUGUAGGAAUAUUUUUUUGAUUCUCAAAUUAUAAAACAGUUUACGAAUAAUUUUUAUAACAGAAAUAAAAUUGCUUUCCUGUGAACUCUCUCACAUGUCGACCGGAAAAAAAAAGCUUGAGUUGAACGAAAUUCUUGAAAUGGAUAUAGAAACAUCACAGACACUCUAUUCAUUUUCUUUUAAGGUACAAGAGUCAUCAUUAUCCACUGAUGAAGCAUCAAGUGCAGUUGACGUAUUUACCCCACGAUACAACGCAGCCUUUCAGUUUCAUCAGUCAAAAGAAAAGCUAUCCAGAGUGAGAAAAAGACAAGCCUUCGCUUUAUAUUGGAUUAGGUCGAGUUAGGGUUCAUCAAAAAUUUCGUUUCAUGGUAACAAGGACAUGUAUUUAUACUCCAUAAUGGCAGC